This is a non-coding RNA of Pelobates cultripes (western spadefoot toad), 255 nucleotides long. Lineage: Eukaryota; Metazoa; Chordata; Amphibia; Anura; Pelobatidae. The record is from the annotation of a GenBank genome assembly.
CACAUACAACACUCACACACACACGCACCCCCCACCUCAAUGCAGUAUGUGUGUAUUCAGCAGUGUGUGUGUGUGCGUGUAUUCAGCAGUCUGUGUGUGUUUGCGUGUAUUCAGCGGACUGUGUGUGUGUACUCAGCAGUCUGUGUGUGUGUAUUCAGCAGUCUGUGUGUGUGUAUUCAGUCUGUGUGUAUUCAGCAGUCUGUGUGUGUGUAUUCAGCAGUCUGUGUGUGUGUGUACUCAGCAGUCUGUGUGUGU